UACGGAGGGUGCAAGCGUUAAUCGGAAUUACUGGGCGUAAAGCGUGCGUAGGUGGUUUGUUAAGUCCGUUGUGAAAGCCCCGAGCUCAACUUGGGAAUUGCAGUGGAUACUGGCAAGCUGGAGUGCGGUAGAGGAAGGUGGAAUUCCCGGUGUAGCGGUGAAAUGCGUAGAGAUCGGGAGGAACACCAGUGGCGAAGGCGGCCUUCUGGACCAGCACUGACACUCAAGCACGAAAGCGUGGGUAGCGAACAGG
This 253-nucleotide ribosomal RNA is filed under the name uncultured bacterium. RNAcentral's name for it is "partial 16S ribosomal RNA". It matches the Rfam family "Bacterial small subunit ribosomal RNA", at positions 524 to 776 of the family's 1533-position model. The record is from RNAcentral.